This 1306-nucleotide ribosomal RNA is filed under the name uncultured bacterium. Its description in RNAcentral is "bacterial SSU rRNA". It matches the Rfam family "Bacterial small subunit ribosomal RNA", at positions 28 to 1381 of the family's 1533-position model. The record is from RNAcentral.
AACGUACGCUGGCGGCACGCUUAACACAUGCAAGUCGAACGAAGUAGCAAUACUUAGUGGCAGACGGGUGAGUAACAUGUGGGUAUCUGCCCUUUGGCCUGGAAUAACACGAGGAAACUUGUGCUAAUACCGGAUAAGUCUUUACGGAGAAAGCUUUAUGCACCAUUGGAUGAGCCUGCACUUGAUUAGUUUGUUGGUGGGGUAAUGGCCUACCAAGACUGUGAUCAAUAGCUGAUUUGAGAGGAUGAUCAGCCACAUUGGGACUGAGACACGGCCCAAACUCCUACGGGAGGCAGCAGUGGGGAAUCUUGCACAAUGGAGGAAACUCUGAUGCAGCGAUGCCGCGUGAGUGAAGAAGGCCCUUGGGUUGUAAAGCUCUUUCGUCGGGGAAGAAAAUGACUGUACCCGAAUAAGAAGGUCCGGCUAACUUCGUGCCAGCAGCCGCGGUAAUACGAAGGGACCUAGCGUAGUUCGGAAUUACUGGGCUUAAAGAGUUCGUAGGUGGUUGAAAUAGUUAGUGGUGAAAUCCCAGAGCUUAACUCUGGAACUGCCAUUAAAACUUUUCAGCUAGAGUUUGAUAGAGGAAAGCAGAAUUUCUAGUGUAGAGGUGAAAUUCGUAGAUAUUAGAAAGAAUACCAAUUGCGAAGGCAGCUUUCUGGAUCAUUACUGACACUGAGGAACGAAAGCAUGGGUAGCGAAGAGGAUUAGAUACCCUCGUAGUCCAUGCCGUAAACGAUGUGUGUUAGACGUUGGAAAUUUAUUUUCAGUGUCGCAGCGAAAGCGAUAAACACACCGCCUGGGGAGUACGACCGCAAGGUUAAAACUCAAAUGAAUUGACGGGGACCCGCACAAGUAGUGGAGCAUGUGGUUUAAUUCGAAGAUACGCGCAGAACCUUACCAACACUUGACAUGUUCGUCGCGACUCUAAGAGAUUAGAGUUUUCGGUUCGGCCGGACGAAACACAGGUGCUGCAUGGCUGUCGUCAGCUCGUGUCGUGAGAUGUUGGGUUAAGUCCCGCAACGAGCGCAACCCUCACUUUUAGUUGCCAUCAUUAAGUUGGGCACUCUGAAAGAACUGCCAGUGAUAAGCUGGAGGAAGGUGGGGAUGACGUCAAGUCCUCAUGGCCCUUACGUGUUGGGCUACACACGUGCUACAAUGGUAUCUACAACAGGAAGCAAGACUGCGAGGUCAAGCAAAUCCUUAAAAGAUACCUCAGUUCGGAUUGCACUCUGCAACUCGAGUGCAUGAAGCUGGAAUUACUAGUAAUCGUGGAUCAGCGUGCCACGGUGAAUGCGUUCCCGGGUCU